This 318-nucleotide ribosomal RNA is filed under the name Triticum aestivum (bread wheat). Its description in RNAcentral is "partial small subunit ribosomal RNA". Lineage: Eukaryota; Viridiplantae; Streptophyta; Magnoliopsida; Poales; Poaceae. The record is from RNAcentral.
AUGGCAAAGCAUGCAGGCUUUGCCAUCUGCUGGCAGACGACAACGUAUGUCGUUAGCCUUCUAACGGGGUUAACCCCGUUAAGAGGCUUUGCCAUCUGCCAGCUGAUGGCAAAGGCACAGGCUCUUUUUGCCAUCAGCCAGCAGAUGGCAAAGAAGCCUUUACCGGCAGGGUUUCAGACAAACUGUUUGCCAUCUGCUGGUAGAUGGCAAAGCCUUUGCCAUCCGCCAACCAUGCCUUUGCCAUCUGCCAUGGCAGAUGGCAAAGUGCCAGAUUCCAGUAGUGAGGUGUUUCUCAGUCGACGCAUCCAGCCGCUCUAG